This 422-nucleotide ribosomal RNA is filed under the name uncultured bacterium. Its description in RNAcentral is "bacterial SSU rRNA". It matches the Rfam family "Bacterial small subunit ribosomal RNA", at positions 8 to 415 of the family's 1533-position model. The record is from RNAcentral.
AGAGUUUGAUCCUGGCUCAGAGCGAACGUUAGCGGCAGGCUUAACACAUGCAAGUCGAGCGACAAAGGGGCUUCGGCCCUGAGUAGAGCGGCGGACGGGUGCGUAACACGUGGAUAAUCUGCCUCGUGGCGGGGGAUAACAGUCCGAAAGGACUGCUAAUACCGCAUGUCAGGUCGGAAACCCUGGUUUCUGACGAAAAAGAGGGCGCCCGCAAGGGGCUCUCACCACGAGAUGAGUCCGCGGCCCAUCAGCUAGUUGGCGGUGUAAUAGACCACCAAGGCUAAGACGGGUAGCUGGUCUGAGAGGAUGACCAGCCACACUGGGACUGAGACACGGCCCAGACUCCUACGGGAGGCAGCAGUGGGGAAUAUUGGACAAUGGGCGAAAGCCUGAUCCAGCCAUGCCGCGUGAGUGAUGAAGGU